This 323-nucleotide ribosomal RNA is filed under the name uncultured eukaryote. RNAcentral's name for it is "partial 18S ribosomal RNA". It matches the Rfam family "Eukaryotic small subunit ribosomal RNA", at positions 1470 to 1796 of the family's 1831-position model. The record is from RNAcentral.
CCCCUAGAUGUUCUGGGCUGCACGCGUGCUACACUGAUAUUGCCAAUAUGUCAUUCUUAUCCGAAAUGGAUUGGGUAAUCAAGUAAUGAAAUUUCAUGCUUGGAAUCGGUAAUUGCAAUUUUAUCGUGAACGAGGAAUUCCUAGUAAGCACUAGUCAUCAGCUAAUGUUGAUUAUGUCCCUGCCCUUUGUACACACCGCCCGUCGCUACUACUGAUUGGGUGUUCAAGUGAGAUGCUUAGACCCUUGUUGCAUGGUUCAUUAUUGUGCUCCGAAAGGAAAAAGUUUCAAGCUUGAGUGUCUAGAGGAAGUAAAAGUCGUAACA